This is a long non-coding RNA of Antechinus flavipes (yellow-footed antechinus), 857 nucleotides long. RefSeq lists it as uncharacterized. The transcript has 3 exons. NCBI's taxonomy places the organism in Eukaryota, Metazoa, Chordata, Mammalia, Dasyuromorphia, Dasyuridae. The record is from RefSeq and is a predicted model, not a curated record.
CCCCCCCCAUGCUCUAGUACCUCAUAAUGGUGCUCUUCGGCUUCCUGGUUCCUGGUCUGAGGCUGGACAUGAGAGAACACGGGUCCUGUUUGGCUCUAUUGCGCCUGGAAGAACAGCAGAGGAUUCUGGUUGUGUUAGACUGGACCGGGGGAUAAGAGAUGCAUCCAGGGUGGCCUAGUGGCUCAUGGCGGGGCGAAGCAUGGGGGGGGCGAACUGGCUUCCCUACCACUCGUGGGACCUGGACAGGAAUGACUCGGGUCCGGCCGAGGGAGGUGAGCAGCAGGUAGCCCAAGCCCCCGCCUACAAGGAGGGCCCCCAGGCCCAGGCAGCUGAGGGCCACGGUGAGGGCGAGCCCCAAGUUCUUGCCGUCCUUCCCCCUCUGCUGGGACUUCGUGGUGUUCGCGGAUUUCUCUGAAAAAGAGCAAGGGGACACCCUCGUUGGCCCGAGGGAAGUCCCAGAAUUCUCCGCCUCCCUUGUGGGUCCGCUCAGACAGAACUCCCCAGUUCUGGACCGGACACCCGAGGGGAAGCCCUCUCCCUCCAGCCUCAGUUUCCCCAACUGUCGAGAGAAGGUUGGACUCCAUGAAUCCAAAGGGCCCUCCCACCCCUGAUAUUUCAUUAUUAUUAUUUUUUACUUAUUUAUAUCUCUAUGAUUUAUUUGUUAUUUUAUUUUGUUAUUUAUCUCUUAACGAAUUUGUCAAAUUACUUCCAAAAAUAACGGCAGCUAGGAGGAGAGAAUGCUGGGAUCGGGAUCAAGAAGACGGCUUAGAUGUGUGAUGCAGGACAAGUGCCUUAACUUCUGCCUGCCUCAGUUUCUUCAUCUGCAAACUGGGAAUAAAAUCAGCACCUCCCUCUUA